RNAcentral lists this unclassified non-coding RNA (422 nucleotides) under Hevea brasiliensis (rubber tree). Lineage: Eukaryota; Viridiplantae; Streptophyta; Magnoliopsida; Malpighiales; Euphorbiaceae. The record is from RNAcentral.
UGGCAUCAAUCAAGGAUUUUGCACCAUCUGCAGCACUGGUUAGCAACUCUACAACAUCCUUAGUGAUUCCUUUCCUACAAAGAAAUCUUGCCAAUUUCAGAGUGGCUUCAAGUUCAAAGCUUAAAGGUGAAACUCUUUGAGCAUUGUCUGGUAUGAAUGACUUUUUGUAAUGUGAUAUCACAUUGCUAUACCGAUACCUGACCUCAUCCUCAAAAACUGCAUCCUUUUGGCCCAAUUGGUCUAUCAGUAGGGCACAAACGGUACCCUCCAAAGCCCCAGCAUACCAGAAGAAAUCCGCAGUCAAUCUAGCUAAUUCUAAGGCAGUGGAAUAGUGAGCAUUGGCAUCAACAGGUGACCCCGCCAACAAACAGUAAUCCCCAAUUGUUUUCUGUGCACGGGCCAGUCUUCUUUUUUUGGCCUUG